Non-coding RNA from Rattus norvegicus (Norway rat), 4678 nucleotides. The record is from RefSeq and is a predicted model, not a curated record. NCBI's taxonomy places the organism in Eukaryota, Metazoa, Chordata, Mammalia, Rodentia, Muridae.
AGGCUAUGAAAACAUGCGAAAGUGAAAACACCACAGCGGAAGUGAAAACGUCACAGCGGAAGUGAAACCGUCACAGCGGAAGUGAAAACGUCACAGCGGAAGUGAAAACGUCACAGUGGUACUGUUCUUGCUCCUUGGGAAAUGGUGAAAGAAUGACACGGACCGUCAAUAGAGCCUGUAACGAACACAAGUUUACACCUUCUUCCUUUGAGAGAACCCAUCACUGUGUGAGUCGCUGUGACUCCCACAGCUGCAUCCGUCCUAGCCCAGGAAGAAGAGCAGGACCCGCAGAAUGGAGACCAGAGCUGACUGACAUGUCCCGCUCGAUAUGCUUCCCGCUAUUGGCCUGUCUGCUCAUCUCUGUAGUUUCUCGCGGUGGCGAUUCAACCGCAAAACUGGACAACUCUAUCAGGAAUUAUAAUUUUCUGUGCUACGUUUAACUUUGGCUAGGGAUUUAUUUCCCUUUGAAUCUUUGGGUUGGACAAACAUUUAAUCAUCCCACCGUUCAAAAGUUGUCGUUGCUUAUGUGGCAUAGGCGGGCGUGGCUGCUAUGAUGAGCAAGGAUGGGGUGGAGAGAUGAGAAUGAAAGAGAAGCAGAAUGGUUUGAGCACUGUGAAGAGAGGUAGAGCCAGAGAUGCGAAAUGGUGGGGGACAGCCAGAUGUGAGUAGCCUGAGAUGCCACCUGAGGCCAUGGUGAGGUCCUGGCCAUCCUGCCACCGAGGCCGUGUCUGUGUCUCAGACCUUUUGUCUAUUCGUGAUCCAUGUUACCACCAAAGGCCAUGUGGAUGACCCUGGUCUGGGUUGCUGUCAGGGGCCAUGUUUGAUGCCCAAGGACUGUACAGAGUAGUUGAUCACCUCAUCUCGGCACACAGUAGAGCUGGCCCUGGUGGCAGGGUAUGGGUGAGCUGGCCCUGCCCCUUGUGGUUGAGUGGUGGCAGUGGGCACAGGAGAGAUAACGCCCUCCAUCCCCUGUGGCAGGCUGGAGAGCAGGUUCUGCCCCUCACUAGGGCAGUGAUGGAGAACUGGUCCUGAUGGCUUGGGUGCAGAAAGCUUGUCCUAGCAGGCAGGAGAGCUCACUCACUCCUCACUAGGCAAAGCAGGAGAUCUGACCCUGGCAGUACAGGUCUAGGAGAUCUUGCUGGUAGGCUAAUUCAGUUCCCACCCAGCCCAGAUCCAGAACUUUGAAUUGGACCAUCCCAACGUUCACCCCAUCUAUGAACUGAGAGAGUAUGUGUAGGGGCUGCUGGUCCUGUCAAAUCGAAGCUGCAGGAUCUCCAUGACACAGAGGUGGCUGACUGCCAAACGGGGAGUGGUAGGUAUGUCUUGGACCUCGUGUGUGAUAUAAAACACAGAUUCCAAGGAGAAAUGAGGAGGAGAGCACCUAGUGAGUUUGAAGCAUGGGGACAGAUGUGUGUUUCUAGAACGAGGUGCUACUGUUUUGUAUGGAAGACUCUUCCUGUAGACAUGCGUAAGAGGGACUGAGUGAGUGGGGACAAUACGGAAGCUGGUUUCGUGGGAUAGUCUUUCAUUGUGUAAUUGUGCAGUAUGUACCCUAUGUGUGUGGAGGCAAUUUCUUGAAGUGGAUCAUCAGGGGUAAAGUGGGAGCAACUGACCAUUUAUGGUGAUUUCUGGACGUUGUAUAGAACUUUUGGUACUUUUGACACCUGUAUGUUGGUAGUGCUACAUCUGAACUCAUUCAUCUAUAUAAAAAUCCAAAUUGGGGAAAAAAGAUGAGAAAAUAAUGUUUUUGUUCCACCAAUAGAUGGGACUAAGAAGGCUAAGAGAGUGAGAUUUUAUCUUUAACUCCGUCAAGUUUUUAGCUUCAGUGGUCAUCCACGUACAAGGAUGAUGAAUUACUUUUGGGCAUGGAAAUUUUAUGAUGAAAGUCUCAUUUAAGAAACAAAUUCCCUCUGUCCCUUAGGCUCUCUAUGGGAACUGCUCCUUUAGGUGUACAUCUAAGGUCAAUUCUCUUAACAAUUAUUUGUUUGAGUAGGAAUUUCCCUGAGUGGUCUCCAACUGUAACACUGAACAGUUUACCAAUAAUGACUAUUUAAAACUGUGCCUUCAGUUCAUAAAAGUAUUUUUGAGGAGUUUUUUUUAACUGUACUCACAGUAGAAUAGCACGUCGAACUGGGCCUAGAAGGAAAAGAGUAUUUUGGGAACUACUACUUGAAUUGUGAUGAUUUUUCUGUUUAUUAGCAAUUGAGAAAAUGUGCACGAUUUUAAAUUUGCAACAUUCAGAAGAGCCAGUAAAAGAAUACAAAAUAUUUUGUUUAUGUUGUCUGAAAUAACUUAUAAGUUUCCUACAUUGUUUCUUAUAAAAUUUGGUGUUUCUUUAAUUAAAACACUUUUCUGAGAUAAAAUGAAUAUUUUAAAGGUAUUAGCAAUGCACACAAAACUCAUUCAUUGUAUUUUGUUGGGGCAGGUCUUAUUUAGCUAUUAAUUUUUUGUAAAAAUAAUAUAGAAUAGUUAGGGGAAAUGUAAAGAACAAAUUUAACUCAACCCUUUUUCCUUCCUUGCUUCCUACCUCCCUUCUACUGUAUCUUCUUUCCUUUCUUUCUUCUUUAAAAAAAAAGAUAUUUUAAAAAUUUUAAAAUGGUGUGUGUGUGUGUGUGUGUGUGUGUGUGUGUGUGUGUGUGUGUGUGUUGUUUGUAAUUACCUAUGGAAGCCAGAAGAGGGUACCAGAUUCCCAGGAGCUGGGAUUUGAUGUGCUUGUUGCUUGGGAACUGAACUUGAGUGUAUUUGGCCCUUAAAUGCUGGGGCAUCUCUCCAGGAGACUCCGUCCCACAACCCUUUUUAAGGCUUGAGUAUGGCUGAGAACACAUGUGAGAACCUUUGACCUUCCUCGUGCAUUCUGUGGAUGAGAGGAAGUUUUUCAUUUGAGUAACUUGACCUUUGCUCUUUUAACCAAGAGACCAAAUAAUUGUGAGCACAUUUGAGGAUACCAGAGCCUGUAGUUUGAAGUACAAAGUGAAUCUUAUUUUGUCUGUAGGAAAUGAAUACUACCAUCUCUUCCUCAUUAAUAUUUUAGAUCGUGUGUGUGUGUGUGUGUGUGUGUGUGUGUGUGUGUGUGUGUGUGUGUGUGUGUUUAGAUCAUCGCCGUGGGAAUCAGGUGACUUGGGGCAAGCUCUGACCUAGAUAAUGUCUGAAACUCCUUAGGCAAAGAUUCUCUUUCUGGUUCUUUUUCCUUCUCUAUAAAACAAAGAGGCCAGACUCAUUUCUCUGUGAUUCCUUCCACUUUUCAAAUUCUAGAAAGCCAUAGUUUAUGGUAAUACUGGGUCUCUUCCAAAUACUAUUCUUUAUAUUUGAGUGCCCAUUGUGAUUUAUAGAAUCUUGGGCCUUUUUAGGUGAAGCAAAUUUUGGAUCCCAUUCUGAGAAAUCUGGACAGACAAUGCAGUUUGGCUAGUGGAUUAUGGGUGUAAUCCCAUUACUGAUACGUACAGGAGGAUUUGUUCCGGUCUGUUUCACAGAGUAUGACUGCAAAAAAAAAAAAGUUUUAAACCAAACACCAGGAUUUGAAAUUUAGGUUUAUUUCUGGUUUUAAAAUGUCAGAAUUAGAGGCCUGCUUUCAUACUAAAGGCACGGCAACUUUUCUUCCUUAGUAUUUGCUAUUCUCAAAGACAUAGUUACUGGAAUUUUGAAACGGGUCAAACUGCUUUUAACCUGGCUACUGUUAUUCAAUUUUUAUCAAUUCUUCAUUUUCUGUUAACAGGAAAUCUGUUUCAUGCCUUCAAUAUAUAAAAGGUAGAAAGAUCAUGAAGUAGCCCGAAGCAGAUAAAUAUUGACCCAGUAGAACAUGCGUGCUACCAAGAAUUAGAAUUAAUUUUGUCACGGGACGAGGCCAGAAAUUACAAGGAAAGGAGAUAUGCGAAAACUCCAGAAAGAAACUUCUUGCUUUUAAAUCGUCACGCCUCUCAGCUGCCUCGGCUCCUGUCACUGUUAUUGAUAUGAGGAAUCCAUCAACAUAUUUUGGUGGGUGAUUAAGAAACCUGACCUUUCCUUUUGCAGGUACAAAUAGGUAGUUCUUCAGCGGCUGUAACUGAACGACAAGAUAAUUCUAUCCAUUUAAUAUUGAAGUGAUGUUGACAGCAUCGUUCUUCUCAGGUUGGAAACAGGACAGCGCCUGGGCCUCUUCUGCUUCAGCCUGUUCCGCCAGUGGGUGAUGGAUUUCCCUCUGACUAAUCGCUGUCACAUUAACCCGCAGUAUUUCAUCCUUCAGUGCUGUCAAGAUAAUGACGAUAAUCCAAGUGGCUCAUUGUAGGUGAACUCGGAGCCAGAAGAGGGACACGCUGUCUGGAACCGCAGGCUGUGGACCCCCUAAGCUGUGAGGGCUGAGAACCGAAUUCCGGUCCUCUGCAAGGGCAGCAAGUGCCGUUGCCACAGCCUUUUUGUUUGUUUGUUUGUUUGUUUGUAUGUUUGACUUUUUUAUGAAAAGCAACUCCAUGUACAAAUGAUACCAUCCAAGGUUUUUCUUUCUCUGUAUGGAUCACUUCGUUUGCAUAACGACAUCCAUAAAGCUUAUUUGUUAUACGGCCAACGGCAAGAUCUCAUUCUUUCCAAGGCUGAAUAAUAUUCCACUAUAUUUAAUACAAUGUACUAUUUAUUUAUUCACCAACAGAGUUACAUUGAUGCCAUACCUUGGUCUAUUAUAGAUAACAUUAAAAUGAGAAUUAAAGUG